GCAUAUCAAUAAGCGGAGGAAAAGAAACCAACAGGGAUUGCCUCAGUAACGGCGAGUGAAGCGGCAACAGCUCAAAUUUGAAAUCUGGCCUCGGCCCGAGUUGUAAUUUGUAGAGGAAGCUUUUGGUGCGGCACCGACCGAGUCCCCUGGAACGGGGCGCCAUAGAGGGUGAGAGCCCCGUAUGGUUGGACGCCUAUCCUCUGUAAAGCUCCUUCGACGAGUCGAGUAGUUUGGGAAUGCUGCUCAAAAUGGGAGGUAAAUUUCUUCUAAAGCUAAAUACCGGCCAGAGACCGAUAGCGCACAAGUAGAGUGAUCGAAAGAUGAAAAGCACUUUGAAAAGAGGGUUAAAUAGCACGUGAAAUUGUUGAAAGGGAAGCGCUUGUGACCAGACUUGCGCCUCGCCGAUCAUCCGGGGUUCUCCCCGGUGCACUCGGCGGGGCUCAGGCCAGCAUCGGUUUCCGCGGGGGGACAAAGGCCCCGGGAACGUAGCUCCUCCGGGAGUGUUAUAGCCCGGGGCGUAAUGCCCUCGCGGGGACCGAGGACCGCGCUUCGGCAAGGAUG
This 561-nucleotide ribosomal RNA is filed under the name Triangularia allahabadensis. Its description in RNAcentral is "partial 28S ribosomal RNA". It matches the Rfam family "Eukaryotic large subunit ribosomal RNA", at positions 38 to 625 of the family's 3401-position model. The record is from RNAcentral. Lineage: Eukaryota; Fungi; Ascomycota; Sordariomycetes; Sordariales; Podosporaceae.